RNAcentral lists this ribosomal RNA (630 nucleotides) under Triticum aestivum (bread wheat). RNAcentral describes it as "partial small subunit ribosomal RNA". Lineage: Eukaryota; Viridiplantae; Streptophyta; Magnoliopsida; Poales; Poaceae. The record is from RNAcentral.
AUGAACGAGCAUGGCCUCCCUUACACUGCCAAGCAAUACUGCUGCGAUGUCUCCUCCUGCCGCGACAACGGCGGUCUCAUCAAGUUUGUCGAGAUAGAGUUCGAUGAGCCGGACCGCAGGCACAUUGGCAAUCAAGGCUGGAGAGCCAUCAUAUGGGAUAUGAUGAUAAAUACUUCAGAUGGUUGGAGCCAGCGCUUCAGAGUUGAUGUCGAUAACAUUUCGGUGGACCGAAGUUUUUCUGGUUUACUGCCUCAGCAGUGGAACGACGAGGCCGGAGAACUAGAACUGAAGAGACUGAUUUUGUGCACACAGAUUUUGUGUACUCCCACGCUGAGCAAGCAGGACGACGAUCUUCUUUACGUGAUGGCUAAGGUGAACAGUGAAGACGACAAGGCCUGGGUCAUCACCGUCAACAUGAAACGCGAGGCCGUGGAAGCAAUCGCCCCGUAUUCUACCAAAGGGCGCAAAUUCACUUCAUGGCAUAGUCCUUGCACCUUCCCAAAGUACCUCGACCCGACGACCCGUACAGGGGAUCACGUGGCCACACAUUCUACUAAGAGGAUUAGUGCGGCAGAUUGUGUACUGCAAGUGCUGCUGACUCAAGACUGGUUCAGAGAAAUUGGUAACUGA